UGGGGAAUUUUGGACAAUGGGCGAAAGCCUGAUCCAGCAAUGCCGCGUGUGUGAAGAAGGCCUUCGGGUUGUAAAGCACUUUUGUCCGGAAAGAAAUCCUUGGCUCUAAUACAGUCGGGGGACGACGGUACCGGAAGAAUAAGCACCGGCUAACUACGUGCCAGCAGCCGCGGUAAUACGUAGGGUGCAAGCGUUAAUCGGAAUUACUGGGCGUAAAGCGUGCGCAGGCGGUUUGCUAAGACCGAUGUGAAAUCCCCGGGCUCAACCUGGGAACUGCAUUGGUGACUGGCAGGCUAGAGUAUGGCAGAGGGGGGUAGAAUUCCACGUGUAGCGGUGAAAUGCGUAGAGAUGUGGAGGAAUACCGAUGGCGAAGGCAGCCCCCUGGGCCAAGUACUGACGCUCAUGCACGAAAGCGUGGGGAGCAAACAGGAUUAGAUACCCUGGUAGUCCACGCCCUAAAACGAUGUCAACUAGUUGUUGGGGAUUCAUUUCCUUAGUAACGUAGCUAACGCGUGAAGUUGACCGCCUGGGGAGUACGGUCGCAAGAUUAAAACUCAAAGGAAUUGACGGGGUCAUAGCUGUUUCCU
Molecule: ribosomal RNA, 587 nt
Filed under: uncultured bacterium
Lineage: Bacteria
Description: partial 16S ribosomal RNA
Rfam family: Bacterial small subunit ribosomal RNA
Source: RNAcentral